AGCGUAGGUGGCCUAACAUGUCAACUGUGAAAACCCGGAGCUCAACUCCGGGACUUGCAGUUGAAACUGGUAGGGCUUGAGGACGGUAGAGGAACGACGGAACUGCCAGUGUAGGGGGUAAAAUCCUUAGAUAUUGGCAGGAACGCCGGUGACGAAGGUGGUUUUCUGGGCCGGUUCUGACACUGAUGCUCGAAAGCCAGGGGAGCGAACG
This 211-nucleotide ribosomal RNA is filed under the name uncultured Mesotoga sp. Its description in RNAcentral is "partial 16S ribosomal RNA". It matches the Rfam family "Bacterial small subunit ribosomal RNA", at positions 568 to 774 of the family's 1533-position model. The record is from RNAcentral. Lineage: Bacteria; Thermotogati; Thermotogota; Thermotogae; Kosmotogales; Kosmotogaceae.